GAUGAACGCUAGCUACAGGCUUAACACAUGCAAGUCGAGGGGCAGCAUGAAUUUACUUCGGUAGAUUUGAUGGCGACCGGCGCACGGGUGCGUAACGCGUAUCCAACCUUCCCGUUACUCCGGGAUAGCCUUCCGAAAGGGAGAUUAAUACCGGAUGGUGUUCAAGUGGUGCAUAUUAUUUGAACUAAAGAUUUAUCGGUAACGGAUGGGGAUGCGUACCAUUAGAUAGUAGGCGGGGUAACGGCCCACCUAGUCGACGAUGGUUAGGGGUUCUGAGAGGAAGGUCCCCCACACUGGAACUGAGACACGGUCCAGACUCCUACGGGAGGCAGCAGUGAGGAAUAUUGGUCAAUGGCCGGGAGGCUGAACCAGCCAAGUAGCGUGAAGGAUGAAGGUUCUAUGGAUUGUAAACUUCUUUUAUACGGGAAUAAAACCACCUACGUGUAGGUGCUUGUAUGUACCGUAUGAAUAAGCAUCGGCUAACUCCGUG
This 490-nucleotide ribosomal RNA is filed under the name uncultured bacterium. RNAcentral's name for it is "bacterial SSU rRNA". It matches the Rfam family "Bacterial small subunit ribosomal RNA", at positions 28 to 507 of the family's 1533-position model. The record is from RNAcentral.